Esox lucius (northern pike) is the source of this 1666-nucleotide long non-coding RNA. The record is from Ensembl. Lineage: Eukaryota; Metazoa; Chordata; Actinopteri; Esociformes; Esocidae.
AUUUAACUGAAUCAGUGUGCAGAAUUCUGAAAACAAAGUGUUUAUUGUUCAAUAUUGGGAGGUUAUACAAUUACAGUUUUGCGAGCAGUUGGUGGAUAAAUGGCCAAAAUCAUGAGAAGAGCUACUCUACUAUUCCUAAUAGUAAUUAUGGCAAUGGCAAUGCAGAGAACGGUAGCUGAUAACAGUACAACCCAAGCUGAAAUGACAACAACCAUAGAACCUGACACAACAACCACAUCUGUUACUACAACAUCCACAACUGCUCCAACAUUAACAACAACUGCAACAACAAACAUGGCAGGUGCCACUACAACCACAGUUGCUCCAACAACAACAGCAGCAACCAUGUCAACCACAGCACUUCCCACAACAACUGUAGCUGCCACAACAAUCACAGAACAUGCCACAUCAACUAUAACUGCACCCACUUCAACCACAGAUACAGCCACAACAACUACAACAACCACACCUGCUCCAACAACAACUACAGCUGUAGCCACUACAGGUACAACAACUACAACAACAGCUCAAACAUCAACCACUACUGAUGUCUCAUCAACUACACCUGCUCCCACAACUGCAACAACAAACAUGGCAGGUGCCACUACAACCACAGUUGCUCCAACAACAACAGCAGCAACCAUGUCAACCACAGCACUUCCCACAACAACUGUAGCUGCCACAACAAUCACAGAACAUGCCACAUCAACUAUAACUGCACCCACUUCAACCACAGAUACAGCCACAACAACUACAUCUGCCAGUACAACAACCACACCUGCUCCAACAACAACUACAGCUGUAGCCAAUACAGGUACAACAACUACAACAACAGCUCAAACAUCAACCACUACUGAUGUCUCAUCAACUACACCUGCUCCCACAACUGCAACAACAAACAUGGCAGGUGCCACAACAACCACAGUUGCUCCAACAUCAACAUCGGCAACCACGUCAAUCACAGCACUUCCCACAACAACUGCAGCUGCCACAACAACCACAGAACAUGCCACAUCAACUACAACUGCACCCACUUCAACCACAGAUACAGCCACAACAACUACAUCUGCCAGUACAACAACCACACCUGCUCCAACAACAACUACAGCUGUCUCAUCAACUACACCUGCUCCAACAACAACUGCAACAACAAACACGGCAGGUGCCACAACAACCACAGUUGCUCCAACAGCAGCAACCACAUCAACCACAGCACUUCCCACAACAACAACUACAACUGCCACAAAAACCACAGAACCUGCCACAUCAACUACAACUGCACCCACGUCAACUACAGAUACAGCCACAACAACUACAUCUGCCACUACAACAACCACAGCUGCAACUACUACAACAACAGCUCAAACAUCAACCACUACAGCUGUCUCAUCAACUACACCUGCUCCAACAUCAACAACAACUGCAACAACAAACACAGCAGGUGCCACAACAACCACAGUUGCUCCAACAACAACCGAAGCCACCACGUCAACCACAGCACUUCCCACAACAACUACAACUGCCACAACAACCAUAGAACAUUCCACGUCAACAACAACUGCACCCACGUCAACCACAGAUACAGCCACAACAACUACAACAACCACACCUGCUCCAACAACAACUACAGCUCUAACCACUACAGCUGCAGCCACUACAACAACAG